GCUACACAUGCAAGUCGAGCGGUAAGGCCCUUCGGGGUACACGAGCGGCGAACGGGUGAGUAACACGUGAGCAACCUGCCCCUGACUCCGGGAUAAGCGGUGGAAACGCCGUCUAAUACCGGAUAUGACACACCAUCUCCUGGUGGUGUGUGGAAAGUUUUGUCGGUCAGGGAUGGGCUCGCGGCCUAUCAGCUAGUUGGUGGGGUAAAGGCCUACCAAGGCGAUUACGGGUAGCCGGCCUGAGAGGGCGACCGGCCACACUGGGACUGAGACACGGCCCAGACUCCUGCGGGAGGCAGCAGUGGGGAAUAUUGCACAAUGGGCGAAAGCCUGAUGCAGCGACGCCGCGUGGGGGAUGACGGCCUUCGGGUUGUAAACCUCUUUUACCACCAACGCAGGCCCCGGGUUCUCUCGGGGUUGACGGUAGGUGGGGAAUAAGGACCGGCUAACUACGUGCCAGCAGCCGCGGUAAUACGUAGGGUCCGAGCGUUGUCCGGAAUUAUUGGGCGUAAAGAGCUCGUAGGCGGCGUGUCGCGUCUGCUGUGAAAGACCGGGGCUUAACCCCGGUUCUGCAGUGGAUACGGGCAUGCUAGAGGUAGGUAGGGGAGACUGGAAUUCCUG
This 621-nucleotide ribosomal RNA is filed under the name Nocardiopsis sp. YIM 92312. RNAcentral describes it as "bacterial SSU rRNA". It matches the Rfam family "Bacterial small subunit ribosomal RNA", at positions 48 to 672 of the family's 1533-position model. The record is from RNAcentral. Lineage: Bacteria; Bacillati; Actinomycetota; Actinomycetes; Streptosporangiales; Nocardiopsidaceae.